UUUCUGAUAUAAUCAAAACUGGAGAGAGAAGUUAGGGAGUUUAAUACUUCCGAUAAAGAUGGUGGCUACUUCUAUAUGAAAGGGGAUGGUGCUAUGCUCGCAUACACUAAAAUCUUGAAGAAAGGAGUAGAAAAUGUCUACAUACGAAGCUAUCCAACUAAUGGUAGAUUUUGCGAUUUUUGUAAUUGCACUCU
This 194-nucleotide small RNA is filed under the name uncultured Gemella sp. RNAcentral describes it as "Listeria sRNA rli28". The stretch from base 52 to 194 matches the Rfam family "Listeria sRNA rli28", at positions 34 to 176 of the family's 186-position model. Lineage: Bacteria; Bacillati; Bacillota; Bacilli; Caryophanales; Gemellaceae. The record is from RNAcentral.